This 605-nucleotide ribosomal RNA is filed under the name uncultured bacterium. RNAcentral describes it as "bacterial SSU rRNA". The stretch from base 1 to 522 matches the Rfam family "Bacterial small subunit ribosomal RNA", at positions 338 to 873 of the family's 1533-position model. The record is from RNAcentral.
CCUACGGGAGGCAGCAGUGGGGAAUCUUGUGCAAUGGACGAAAGUCUGACACAGCCACGCCGCGUGCGGGAAGAAGGCCUUCGGGUUGUAAACCGCUUUCAGCAGGAACGAAAAUGACGGUACCUGCAGAAGAAGAUGCGGCCAACUACGUGCCAGCAGCCGCGGUGAUACGUAGGCAUCAAGCGUUGUCCGGAUUUAUUGGGCGUAAAGAGCUCGUAGGCGGUUCAGCAAGUCGGGUGUGAAAACUCUGGGCUUAACCCAGAGCCUGCACUCGAAACUGCUGUGACUAGAGUUCGGUAGGGGAGCAGGGAAUUCCUAGUGUAGCGGUGAAAUGCGCAGAUAUUAGGAGGAACACCAAUGGCGAAGGCACUGCUCUGGGCCGAUACUGACGCUGAGGAGCGAGAGCGUGGGUAGCAAACAGGAUUAGAUACCCUGGUAGUCCACGCCGUAAACGAUGGGCACUAGGUGUGGGUCUCUAACCAACGAGAUCUGCGCCGUCGCUAACGCAUUAAGUGCCCCGCCUGGGGAGGUACGGUCGCGAGACAAACUACGAAAGAAGUAGACGGCGUGAGACGUAGACCGACGGACGACGACGAGGGAGGAGG